This 353-nucleotide ribosomal RNA is filed under the name Afghanodon mustersi (Paghman mountain salamander). Its description in RNAcentral is "partial 16S ribosomal RNA". The stretch from base 165 to 353 matches the Rfam family "Bacterial large subunit ribosomal RNA", at positions 566 to 842 of the family's 2925-position model. The record is from RNAcentral. Lineage: Eukaryota; Metazoa; Chordata; Amphibia; Caudata; Hynobiidae.
GUAUUAAAUUUAGCCUACCUCCCUUACACAAAAUAAUUUUUAAUAAUAAAAUAAAACAUUUUUAACACUUUAGUAUAGGAGAUAGAAAAAUUCACUUAGCGCAAUAGAAAAUAGUACUGUAAAGGAAAAAUGAAAUAGAAAUUAAAUAAAACAUAAAAACAAUAAAAAGCAAAGAUUUCACCUUAUACCUUUUGCAUCAUGGUCUAGUAAGUUUAACCUAACAUAAAGAACUUAAGUUAGACACCCCGAAACUAAACGAGCUACUCCGAAGCAGCAGAAUAUGAGCCAACCCUUCUCUGUGGCAAAAGAGUGGGAUGACUUCUGAGUAGCGGUGAUAAACCUACCGAGCUUAG